GUCCACGCCCUAAACGAUGCCAACUAGGUGUUGGGGAAGGAGACUUCCUUAGUACCGUAGCUAACGCGUGAAGUUGGCCGCCUGGGGAGUACGGUCGCAAGAUUAAAACUCAAAGGAAUUGACGGGGACCAGCACAAGCGGUGGAUGAUGUGGAUUAAUUCGAUGCAACGCGAAAACCUUACCUACCCUUGACAUGCCAGGAACUUUCCAGAGAUGGAUUGGUGCCCGAAAGGGAACCUGGACACAGGUGCUGCAUGGCUGUCGU
This 265-nucleotide ribosomal RNA is filed under the name uncultured bacterium. Its description in RNAcentral is "partial 16S ribosomal RNA". It matches the Rfam family "Bacterial small subunit ribosomal RNA", at positions 793 to 1055 of the family's 1533-position model. The record is from RNAcentral.